AUUGAACGCUGGCGGCAUGCCUUAUACAUGCAAGUCGAACGGUAACAGGUCUUCGGAUGCUGCCGAGUGGCGAACGGGUGAGUAAUACAUCGGAACGUGCCCGAUCGUGGGGGAUAACGGAGCGAAAGCUUUGCUAAUACCGCAUACGAUCUACGGAUGAAAGCAGGGGACCGCAAGGCCUUGCGCGGACGGAGCGGCCGAUGGCAGAUUAGGUAGUUGGUGGGAUAAAAGCUUACCAAGCCGACGAUCUGUAGCUGGUCUGAGAGGACGACCAGCCACACUGGGACUGAGACACGGCCCAGACUCCUACGGGAGGCAGCAGUGGGGAAUUUUGGACAAUGGGCGAAAGCCUGAUCCAGCCAUGCCGCGUGCAGGAUGAAGGCCUUCGGGUUGUAAACUGCUUUUGUACGGAACGAAAAGACUCUUUCUAAUAAAGAGGGUCCAUGACGGUACCGUAAGAAUAAGCACCGGCUAACUACGUG
RNAcentral lists this ribosomal RNA (482 nucleotides) under uncultured bacterium. Its description in RNAcentral is "partial 16S ribosomal RNA". It matches the Rfam family "Bacterial small subunit ribosomal RNA", at positions 30 to 507 of the family's 1533-position model. The record is from RNAcentral.